Molecule: transfer RNA, 73 nt
Filed under: Eubacterium sp.
Lineage: Bacteria; Bacillati; Bacillota; Clostridia; Eubacteriales; Eubacteriaceae
Also listed under: 1 other name
Description: tRNA-Val
Rfam family: tRNA
About the family: Transfer RNA (tRNA) molecules are approximately 80 nucleotides in length. Their secondary structure includes four short double-helical elements and three loops (D, anti-codon, and T loops).
Source: RNAcentral
GGUCCAUUAGCUCAGCUGGGAGAGCGUCUGGGUGACAACCAGAAGGUCACAAGUUCAAGUCUUGUAUGGGCCA